AGUGAGUAAAGCAAUUAGUAAACUACAGUGAAAUAGAAGAUCAUGCUAAGUAUGGUUAAGAAGAUGGUUGCAUCGUCCAUAGGAUGUUGAUCUCAUGGAGAGGUUGAUUGUGGCUAUAAGACGUGAGGUGCGUCGGAAUGUAGAAGAGGGAGUAGUUUCUAGUGGAAUAUGAAAGAAUGCUUCAAUGUUCAGACAAUGUUCAGUAAGUCAGGAAAUUAAUCAGACUGAAUAAUGAGAAAAAUGUGGACUAUAAUUCGUGUAAAAUUGAGCCCUCAACGGAGGUGGUGAAUGGUGAGAUUUUUUUCACUCAUUAAUAUCUUGUCCUACUUUCCACUGUAAA
Molecule: non-coding RNA, 340 nt
Organism: Cinara cedri
Lineage: Eukaryota; Metazoa; Arthropoda; Insecta; Hemiptera; Aphididae
Source: the annotation of a GenBank genome assembly